UACGAAGGGGACUAGCGUUGUUCGGAUUUACUGGGCGUAAAGCGCGCGUAGGCGGAUCGCUAAGUCAGGGGUGAAAUCCCAGGGCUCAACCCUGGAACUGCCUUUGAUACUGAAGAUCUUGAGUCCGGGAGAGGUGAGUGGAACUGCGAGUGUAGAGGUGAAAUUCGUAGAUAUUCGCAAGAACACCAGUGGCGAAGGCGGCUCACUGGCCCGGAACUGACGCUGAGACGCGAAAGCGUGGGGAGCAAACGGG
This 253-nucleotide ribosomal RNA is filed under the name uncultured bacterium. RNAcentral's name for it is "partial 16S ribosomal RNA". It matches the Rfam family "Bacterial small subunit ribosomal RNA", at positions 524 to 776 of the family's 1533-position model. The record is from RNAcentral.